RNAcentral lists this unclassified non-coding RNA (328 nucleotides) under soil metagenome. RNAcentral's name for it is "partial contains 5.8S ribosomal RNA, internal transcribed spacer 2, and large subunit ribosomal RNA". The stretch from base 1 to 120 matches the Rfam family "5.8S ribosomal RNA", at positions 35 to 154 of the family's 154-position model. The record is from RNAcentral.
GAUGAAGAACGUAGCGAAAUGCGAUAAGUAAUGUGAAUUGCAGAAUUCAGUGAAUCAUCGAAUCUUUGAACGCACAUUGCGCCCUCUGGUAUUCCGGGGGGCAUGCCUGUUCGAGCGUCAUUAUAACCACUCAAGCUCUCGCUUGGUAUUGGGGUUCGCGGUUUCGCGGCCCCUAAAAUCAGUGGCGGUGCCUGUCGGCUCUACGCGUAGUAAUACUUCUCGCGAUUGAGUCCGAUAGGUCUACUUGCCAGUAACCCCCAAUUUUUACAGGUUGACCUCGGAUCAGGUAGGGAUACCCGCUGAACUUAAGCAUAUCAAUAAGCGGAGG